UACGGGGGGGGCAAGCGUUGUUCGGAAUUACUGGGCGUAAAGCGCGCGCAGGCGGUUUCUUAAGUCUGAUGUGAAAGCCCACGGCUCAACCGUGGAGGGUCAUUGGAAACUGGGGAACUUGAGUGCAGAAGAGAAAAGCGGAAUUCCACGUGUAGCGGUGAAAUGCGUAGAGAUGUGGAGGAACACCAGUGGCGAAGGCGGCUUUUUGGUCUGUAACUGACGCUGAGGCGCGAAAGCGUGGGGAGCAAACAGG
RNAcentral lists this ribosomal RNA (253 nucleotides) under uncultured bacterium. Its description in RNAcentral is "partial 16S ribosomal RNA". It matches the Rfam family "Bacterial small subunit ribosomal RNA", at positions 524 to 776 of the family's 1533-position model. The record is from RNAcentral.